Molecule: long non-coding RNA, 371 nt
Filed under: Vigna radiata
Lineage: Eukaryota; Viridiplantae; Streptophyta; Magnoliopsida; Fabales; Fabaceae
Description: long non-coding RNA (VRAD_LNC012256)
Source: RNAcentral
UCUGUACUGCAUUCCUUAUAUGCAAUCAAAUUUGAUUGGGCGGCGACACCCAUCAAAUUUUGGCGCCGUUGCUGGGGACCAACGGUUCGGUUUUAGGUCUUUGUUUUGUUAGUGUGUGUUGUCUUGUCUUGUGUUGUGAGUGUGAUGUUCUGUUUUGUGUGUUUGUCAUUGUGUGUUGCAUUUAGGUAGCUUUAGUUGCAUAUUUUCAUUGCAUUCUUCUUUUCCUCCUUCUUUCGCAUGUCUACCUGUUUAGGCUAUGUGGAUACUGUUUCUUCUACCUGUGCCUCUGAUAGUGCUUCUCAUAAAUAUUCUGUUGAUUUCUGUCUUGAGAACAAUAUGACUCAUCCUCCCGUUCUUGAGAGCGCUCUUUG